This 83-nucleotide transfer RNA is filed under the name Flavobacterium sp. RNAcentral's name for it is "tRNA-Phe". It matches the Rfam family "tRNA". Rfam says of the family: Transfer RNA (tRNA) molecules are approximately 80 nucleotides in length. Their secondary structure includes four short double-helical elements and three loops (D, anti-codon, and T loops). Lineage: Bacteria; Pseudomonadati; Bacteroidota; Flavobacteriia; Flavobacteriales; Flavobacteriaceae. The record is from RNAcentral.
GGUACCUUAGCUCAGAUGGUAGAGCAAUGGANNAUGGACUGAAAAUCCAUGUGUCCCUGGUUCGAUCCCUGGAGGUACCACGA